RNAcentral lists this ribosomal RNA (259 nucleotides) under uncultured bacterium. RNAcentral's name for it is "partial 16S ribosomal RNA". It matches the Rfam family "Bacterial small subunit ribosomal RNA", at positions 524 to 776 of the family's 1533-position model. The record is from RNAcentral.
UACGGAGGGGGGCUAGCGUUGUUCGGAAUUACUGGGCGUAAAGGGCGCGCAGGCGGCUGCUCAAGUCAGGCGUGAAAAGGCCUGGGCUCAACCCCGGGAAUUGCGCUUGAGACUGGGCUGGCUUGAGUGCGGGAGAGGAUGGUGGAAUUCCCAGUGUAGAGGUGAAAAUUCGUAGAUAUUGGGAAGAACACCGGUGGCGAAGGCGGCCAUCUGGACCGCAACUGACGCUGAGGCGCGAAAGCGUGGGGGAGCAAACAGG